Molecule: non-coding RNA, 747 nt
Organism: Taeniopygia guttata (zebra finch)
Lineage: Eukaryota; Metazoa; Chordata; Aves; Passeriformes; Estrildidae
Source: RefSeq, a predicted model, not a curated record
GUCUGUAUAUUCCCUUGGGAUACAAUCAAGACACUUCUUCUGUCACAAAGCCUUCAGAGAGAUGUGGGAUGCCUGAGUAAAUUGUGAGGGGUGGAAAAGACAAUAGAUCUAUGCUUAGAUACUUGCAUUCUUUGACUACCAAAAACAAUCUAUUGUUUGGUGGCAGUGUGCAUGACUGCCAAUUUUAAUUUACCAUAGACAGCAGCAAUAAGAAGAUAAAGUGUGCAGUGUCCUUCUCUGCAGCUUUGCAUUCCUACCACACUGGCACUGAGCCUCCCCAGUGAAAGAUAAGGCCAGAAUGCUAAGGAGACUUGGGCUGCUGCUGUGGGGUGGCUGUGGGUGGGAAUACUUCUUUUUGUAGCCAAACCAGUUUGUGCUGCUUCAGAUGUUUGUGACAUAGCAGCCUCCAGUUUUCACUUCAACUUCCAGAUCCAUCAGACUGGAACCAGAACACCAGACAGUAGCAAAGUCCGAGUGGUCUCUCCUCGCAGCUAAUACUGCAGAUGAGCUCACUCUCUUCAGAGGUCCUUUUGUGUGGAAACACAACAUCUGUUACGGCAUGUGUACAUCUUCCCUUCCAAGUCUCCAGUCUCUUCAAAUUCAGGUUCUCUAUCUGCAUUUUCAUAUUCUGUAUAAAGCUCAAAUCAACUGAUAUUAGGACAGUUUCUUCUGAGCUUUUGAUUGCAUUACUUUUAGUAACAACUGUAACAUUAUAGAACUGCUGGAGCUCUGGACCAUGUAACAAAA